GUGGGGAAUAUUGGACGAUGGGCGAAAGCCUGAUCCAGCCAUGCCGCGUGUGUGAAGAAGGUCUUCGGAUUGUAAAGCACUUUAAGUUGGGAGGAAGGGUAGUAACCUAAUACGUUGCUACUUUGACGUUACCGACAGAAUAAGCACCGGCUAACUUCGUGCCAGCAGCCGCGGUAAUACGAAGGGUGCAAGCGUUAAUCGGAAUUACUGGGCGUAAAGCGCGCGUAGGUGGUUCAGUAAGUUGGAAGUGAAAUCCCCGGGCUCAACCUGGGAACUGCUUUCAAAACUGCUGAGCUAGAGUACGGUAGAGGGUGGUGGAAUUUCCUGUGUAGCGGUGAAAUGCGUAGAUAUAGGAAGGAACACCAGUGGCGAAGGCGACCACCUGGACUGAUACUGACACUGAGGUGCGAAAGCGUGGGGAGCAAACAGGAUUAGAAACCCUGGUAGUCC
This 450-nucleotide ribosomal RNA is filed under the name uncultured bacterium. RNAcentral describes it as "partial 16S ribosomal RNA". It matches the Rfam family "Bacterial small subunit ribosomal RNA", at positions 354 to 796 of the family's 1533-position model. The record is from RNAcentral.